This 253-nucleotide ribosomal RNA is filed under the name uncultured bacterium. Its description in RNAcentral is "partial 16S ribosomal RNA". It matches the Rfam family "Bacterial small subunit ribosomal RNA", at positions 524 to 776 of the family's 1533-position model. The record is from RNAcentral.
UACGUAGGGGGCUAGCGUUGUCCGGAUUUAUUGGGCGUAAAGAGCGUGUAGGCGGCCAGGUAGGUCUGCUGUGAAAACUCGAGGCUCAACCUCGAGACGUCGGCGGAAACCAUCUGGCUAGAGUCCGGAAGAGGAGAGUGGAAUUCCUGGUGUAGCGGUGAAAUGCGCAGAGAUCAUGAGGAAGACCAGUGGCGAAGGCGGGUCUCUGGACAGUUCCUGACACUGAGGCACGAAGGCCAGGGGAGCAAACGGG